CGGUCGCUGCCACAAGGCAGAGGAAAGUCCGGACUCCGCAGGGCAGAGGAUCCGCCCGUCAAGGGCGGAGGGCGCAUGGCAAUCGUGCGCGACGGAAAGUGCCACAGAAAAUAAACAGCGAAGAGUGGGAAACCGCUCCGCUACGGUGAAAGGGCGGUGUAAGAGACCACCGGCGCGGCUGAAACGCCGCGCGCAGGGCAAACCCUCCUCGGAGCAAGAUCAAAUAGGGAAUCGAACGGGCGGCCCGCUCGGUUGGCGCCGUAGAGGAUGCCAUGAGAUUCCGGGUUGAUUGCAUAGAGGAAUGAUCGGAGCACGCCGCAAGGCGUGUGAACAGAAUCUGGCUUAUUCGCCG
This 352-nucleotide RNase P RNA is filed under the name bovine gut metagenome. Its description in RNAcentral is "Bacterial RNase P class A". It matches the Rfam family "Bacterial RNase P class A". From Rfam's summary of the family: Ribonuclease P (RNase P) is a ubiquitous endoribonuclease, found in archaea, bacteria and eukarya as well as chloroplasts and mitochondria. Its best characterised activity is the generation of mature 5'-ends of tRNAs by cleaving the 5'-leader elements of precursor-tRNAs. The record is from RNAcentral.